Molecule: long non-coding RNA, 2173 nt
Organism: Hemicordylus capensis (graceful crag lizard)
Lineage: Eukaryota; Metazoa; Chordata; Lepidosauria; Squamata; Cordylidae
Exons: 4
Source: RefSeq, a predicted model, not a curated record
UGUACUGGAGGACUGGAAAGUAACCAAUAUAACACUGAUUUUCAAAAAGGGAUCCGGGGGAAUCUGGGAAAUUACAGUCUAAUUAAUUUAACAUCUGUUCCAGGCAAAUUGAUGGAAAGCAUUCUCAAGGAUAAAUUUGUCAAGCAUAUAGAAGAACAGGCCCCACUGAAGGAGAACCAGUGUGGCUUCUGCAAAGAAAACUAUGGUGUGGCCACAUUUCGAGUGCUAUGUACAGUUCUGGUCACCAUGCCUCAAAAAGGACAUUGUAGAACUGGAAAAGGUGCAGAAGAGGGCAACCAAGAUGAUCAGGGGCCUAGAGCACCUUCCUUACGAGAAACAGAGAUAAUCCCAUGAAAAUGAUUGCCAAGACAUUUAGGGCUGACAAAACUAAGUGGAAAAGAAAGCUUUCAAAUACUGGCUGUGAGACACCAACCCUUUACCUCCCUGCUUUUUCCAUGCCAAGGAAAACGAAAGUGCAAGAGAGAGCCAGAUGUUUGCAAUUAACUACCUGACAUCCCCCCUGCCCUCCUGCUAUGGCACUUCCCAAGGCCAGUGAGCAAAUGGUGUAUCAGAAUCCCAGGUUCCAGGUCUGAGUAAUGCAGUGCAGAAUUGCAGGCCUGUCAACACUCCUGGGAUGAAGAAGGCUAAAAGAGAUCCAGGAUUAUACCACUCUUCACCUUGUAAUAAGAGGCUCUACUCAAAUACAUAGCACCCUGGGAGAAGCAUCGCUUAUAUAACCACUGCAGGUGGCAGAUAGAACAGAGGGGGAAAUCAGCAAGAAAGGGGCUGUUGGAACCAGUGAUUCUAAUUGGUGAUUUGUCCAAUUAUAGUAUCACAACGUCUGAGGAUAAGGGCCCAUUCAAAUUUUAUCGUCCCUCCAUGUGAAAACUACCAAAAACAAAAAAGAAAAAGCUUCUUCAGGGCAUCACACCACACAACAGGCAUAUGAUGUGGAAGCACCAUAGCAGCACAUGAUCCAGUGGUGUAAUUGUAUAGUCAGUCUUCAUGCCAGCACUAGCUGAUUGCGUAUAAUUUUUUAGAUUGUGAGCCCUUGGGGACAGGGAGCCAUUUUAUUUAUCUAUUUAUAGCUAUGUAAACCACUUUUGGAACUGUUUGUUGAAAAGCGAUAUAUAAAUAUUCGUUGUACUUGUAUAAAUGUUCCACAGUACAGAGCUAAUGCACAGGGUAAUCAGCCUUCAGAUCUUAGGCCUGUUGUGUGUAACACUAUCUGUGAAGCAUGUUCUGGUGAUCUUCACAGUGGGAUGAUACAUCCAAUGGAAAUAUGGAAGGUAUAUUACAGUGGCUGAGCCAGUUGUCUAACAUUUGAGCAAUCACACAUCUCUCCUCCAAAAACUCCCAUGUGACCUUGGACAAAUUGCUAGCCAAACAUCCACACUGCCAGAAUUGGUUCCACUUUGGCCAAGUGCACAAACAACGAUUUUCACAUCACCUCUGUUCCACAUUAUUCAGUAAAUCCCACAGUAAAACUAUGGCAAGAAGGCAAAUUGAAACAGCAGAUGGUUUCAAGGUGACAGUCCUUUUCCAAAAAUCCAGAGUGCAUUUCUACACUCAGCCACAGCAUGACUGCAGUCUUAUCAUGUGUUGCCAUAUCAUCUUCAUUACUACCUGCCAGGUGAUUCUGCCUAUGCACAAACAUAUUCUAGAUGGGCUUUGCUGUCACUGAUUAUGGCUUGAUUGGCAUGCACAAGGGACAGGGCCUUUUCAGUGGUGAUUCCCAGGAUCUGGAACUCCCUAACACAGUGGGUUUAUGAUGCUUCCUCCCUGUCAGCCUUCAAGAAAGCUUUAAAACCCACCUAUUUGACAGGCAUUUAACAGAUCACUGGUGGGGAGCUUUGUAAGUCUUGUUUGAUGGUUGCACUUAGUAUGUGAUUUCUGACUUUUUAGGAUGUGUUUUUGAAUGGUUUUAAUUGUGAUUUUAAAAUGUUUAUGUUAGCUGCCUUGGGACUUUUGCACACAAAAAGAGAGAUGAGGUAUACACUGAAAAAUAAAUAAAAUAAAAUGUGUGCCCUACACAAAAUUGGCUCACAUUUGGUCCCAUGAUCAAGACCACCCAAGACCCAAUUUGAUCAUGUGCAAAUGCCAGUGAAAUCCAACUAUUUAAUUUGUAUCAGCUGCAAUGUCCAAACCUUUCUUUCCUUUUUGCUUAACAGAA